RNAcentral lists this ribosomal RNA (349 nucleotides) under Enterococcus casseliflavus. Its description in RNAcentral is "bacterial SSU rRNA". It matches the Rfam family "Bacterial small subunit ribosomal RNA", at positions 96 to 436 of the family's 1533-position model. The record is from RNAcentral. Lineage: Bacteria; Bacillati; Bacillota; Bacilli; Lactobacillales; Enterococcaceae.
UGGCGAACGGGUGAGUAACACGUGGGUAACCUGCCCAUCAGAAGGGGAUAACACUUGGAAACAGGUGCUAAUACCGUAUAACACUAUUUUCCGCAUGGAAGAAAGUUGAAAGGCGCUUUUGCGUCACUGAUGGAUGGACCCGCGGUGCAUUAGCUAGUUGGUGAGGUAACGGCUCACCAAGGCAACGAUGCAUAGCCGACCUGAGAGGGUGAUCGGCCACACUGGGACUGAGACACGGCCCAGACUCCUACGGGAGGCAGCAGUAGGGAAUCUUCGGCAAUGGACGAAAGUCUGACCGAGCAACGCCGCGUGAGUGAAGAAAGGUUUUUCGGAUCGUAAAAACUUCUGU